Molecule: unclassified non-coding RNA, 262 nt
Filed under: Hevea brasiliensis (rubber tree)
Lineage: Eukaryota; Viridiplantae; Streptophyta; Magnoliopsida; Malpighiales; Euphorbiaceae
Source: RNAcentral
UGAGAGAAAAUGGCUUAGUUGCCUGGAGAGAAUAAAAAUAUGCUAAAAUGAAUUGAGUCUAUAGUUUUUUGCCCAAAAAAAGGUUUUCCUACUGCAUUUCACAUGAAAAAGGUCAAAAAAAGCCAAGCAUUUUUAACUGAAAAAGUAACGGCCAUUACAACCAUUGCAUAACGGUCGAUAACUGCUGUUACCUUUAAAUAAGUGCCGUAAUGGCCUUUAUAGUUACAAAUUUAAAAUUCGUUAAAUAACGGUGAUAACGAUA